Molecule: ribosomal RNA, 497 nt
Filed under: uncultured bacterium
Lineage: Bacteria
Description: partial 16S ribosomal RNA
Rfam family: Bacterial small subunit ribosomal RNA
Source: RNAcentral
GAUGAACGCUGGCGGCGUGCCUAAUACAUGCAAGUCGAGCGAACAGAUGAGGAGCUUGCUCCUCUGACGUUAGCGGCGGACGGGUGAGUAACACGUGGAUAACCUACCUAUAAGACUGGGAUAACUUCGGGAAACCGGAGCUAAUACCGGAUAAUAUAUUGAACCGCAUGGUUCAAUAGUGAAAGACGGUUUUGCUGUCACUUAUAGAUGGAUCCGCGCCGCAUUAGCUAGUUGGUAGGGUAACGGCUUACCAAGGCAACGAUGCGUAGCCGACCUGAGAGGGUGAUCGGCCACACGGGAGCUGAGACACGGUCCAGACGCCUACGAGAGGCAGCAGUAGGGUAUCGUACGCAAUGGGCGAAAGCCUGACGGAGCAACGGCGCGUGAGUGGUGAAGGUGUUCGGUUCGUAAUACUCUGUUAUUAGGGAAGAACAAAUGUGGAAGUAACUAUGCACGUAUUGACGGUACCUAAUCAGAAAGCCACGGCUAACUACGUG